RNAcentral lists this ribosomal RNA (1603 nucleotides) under Capsicum annuum. Its description in RNAcentral is "eukaryotic LSU rRNA". It matches the Rfam family "Eukaryotic large subunit ribosomal RNA", at positions 1770 to 3401 of the family's 3401-position model. Lineage: Eukaryota; Viridiplantae; Streptophyta; Magnoliopsida; Solanales; Solanaceae. The record is from RNAcentral.
ACAUUCCGUGGUGUCCUGUCCACUACCGGUGGCCCUUCAAAAUUCAGAGGACCAAAUGUCGUCCACGCUUGGUCGUACUUAUAACCACAUCAGGUCUCAAAGGGGAACAACCUCUGGUUGAUGGAACAAUGUAGGCAAGGAAAAUCGGCAAAAUAGACACGGGGGUCCUAGUCCCAAACUCAUUAGCUGUCGGUGGACUACUCGAGAUGCUCCCGCAACGAGAGUGGGUCAUCGCAUGCUGGUCAGAGAAUGGACUGGGAAUGGUUCCUUCGAGGGCCUUCCCUGCGCAUCGAAUAGCCAACUCAGAACUGGUAUGGACAAGGGGAAUCCAACUGUUUAAUUAAAACAAAGAAUUGCGAUGGUCCCAAUGGAUGUUUACGUAUUAUGAUUUUUGCCUAGUGCUCUGAAUGUCAAAGUGAAGAAAUUCAACCAAGAGCGGGUAACUAACAGGAGUAACUAUGACUCUCUUAAGGUAGCCAAAUGCCUCGCCAUCUAAUUAGUGAUGCGCAUGAAUGGAUUAAUGAGAUUCCCACUAUCCCUGUCUACUAUCCAGCGAAAUCACAGCCAAGGGAACGGGCUUGGCAGAAUCAGCGGGAAAAGAAGACCCUCUUGAGCUUGACUCUACUCAGACUUUGUGAAAUGACUUGAGAGGUGUAGUAUAAGUGGGAGCCAAAAGGGAAAAGUGAAAUACCACUACUUUUAACAUUAUUUUACUUAUUCCGUGAAUCGAAAGUGAGGCACUGCCCAUAUUUUUGGACCCAAGGCUCGCUCUGCGGGUCGAUCCAGGUAGAAGACAUUGUCAGGUGGGGAGUUUGGCUGGGGCGGCAUAUCUAUUAAAAGAUAACGAAGGUGUCCUAAGAUGAUCUCAACGAGAACAGAAAUAUUGUGUAGAAUAGAAAGGUAAAAGAUCUUUUGAUUCUGAUUUCCAGUACGAAUACAAACCAUGAAAGUAUGGCCUAACGAUCCUUUAGACCUUUGGAAUUUGAAGCUAGAAGUGUCAGAAAAGUGAUACCACAGGGAUAACUGGACUGUUGCAACCAAGCGUUCACAUGAUCGUUACUUUUUCAUCCUUCGAUGUCGGCUCUUCCUAUCAUUGUGAAGCAGAAUUCACCAAGUGUUGAACUGUACACCCACCAAUAGGAAAUGUGAGUUGGGUUUAGACCGUUGUGAGACAGGUUAGGUUUACCCUACUUAUGACAGUGUUGCAGUAGUAAUUCAACCUAGUACGAGAAGAAAUGUUGAUUCACAUAAUUUUUCAUCACGCUUGGUUGAAAAGCCAGUGGCGCAAAGCUACCGUGUACUGGAUUAUGACUGAACGCCUUUAAGUUAGAAUCCAGGCUAGAAGAUACUCUUGCGCCCGCCUGUCCGCUUGACAAACCGUAGUAGAGGCCUCGGCCCCCAAGGGCACGUGUCGUUUACUAAGCCACUGCGGUGGAAGAGUCGCGGUGGCCGCCUUGAAGUAUAAUUUCCAUCGAGCAGUGGGUAGAAUUCUUUACAGAUGACUUAAAUAUGCGAUGGGGUAUUUUAAGUCGAAGAGUGGUCUUGAUGCCACGAUCCACUGAGAUUCAUCCCUUUGUCACUCUGGUUCGUCCCUCCCCAUCCA